CGGCGGAGCGCAGGGUGGGCUCCGGAGCGGGUCCCCCUGGGAAGCGCAGCGGUCGCGCCCAGGGCGCAGGCCCGCCCAGGAGGCGAGGCGGCAGCAGGGGCCGCAGGAUGAUCUCGGUGUGGAAGAAGCUCUAUUCCUCCUUGUUACAACAAACGUGACAUCAUGCCGGGCCGUCUGGGGUGCAAAGAACCGCCCAGCACCCCCAAAUUUAGUUGCGUCUGCCAAGCGCCGCCGUUGUUCUAAUCCAGCCCCGCUGCUUCGCCUUCCAAAAGGAAGAGGCUGCUGCAGAAACCUCGCCCCUUCCAUGCGAAAGGGCAGCCCCGCCUCGUUCCUGCUCCCAGCCUGGUCCGCGGGGCAGGCGGGACUACAACCGGUGCAGCUGACCCGCCCUCCGCGCGUGGCGGGGAAAGGCUCCCCCUCCCCCAGCAAGGGACGCACCUGCUUCCCCCAGGACGGGGUGAGGAUGGAGAGCAGGGCGUUGCUAUAGGCCAGCAGGCACUGCCAGGCUGCUUGGGUGCCGCAGCCCAACUUCUCGCCGGGAGGCCUCCCCUGGCCAGGGAGCAUCAGUAAUACCUAGGUAUAUAUGUAUUUUGUUUUUCUAGCUUGAUCCAAAUUAUUUAUUAUUUCAUAACAGGUAGAUAGUUAAGACCUUGGGUGGCUUCAGCGGCAGGCACCUGGCACCCCGCAGAAAUCAGUGCCCGGGUGCCCCACCCCCCCUUGCACCCCUGGGUAAAGAUGGCCCCAUUCCGGAGUGGGUCCCCUUGGAAGAGAGUGAUUGCGCCCAGGGCAGGCUCACCCAGGAGCCACAGGAUCAGCAGAUCCAGGUGUGGAAGCUCUAUUCCUCCUUAUUACAACAAACAUGAUAUCAUCAUCAUCAUUUAUUUAUACCCCACCCAUCCGGCUGGGUUUCCCAGCCACUCUGGGCGGCUUACAACAAAGAUUAAAAAUACAUUAAAACAUCCGUCAUUCAAAACUUCCCUAAACAGGGCUGCCUUCAGAUGUCGUUUAAAAGUCAGGUAGUUGCUUAUUGCCUUGACAUCUGCUGGGAGGGCGUUCCACAGGGUGGGCACCACCACCAAGAAGGCCCUCUGCCUGGUUCCCUGUAACUUCGCUUCUUGCCGGAGAGGGACCCUGGCGUCCGGGGUGGAGGUACUCCUUCAGGUCUACUGGGCCAAGGCCAUUGAGGGCUUUCAAGGUCAGCACCGACCCUUUGAAUUUGUGCUCGGAAACGUACUGGGAGCCAACUUAGGUCUUUCAAGACCGGUGUCAUGUGGUCCUGGCAGCCACUCCCAGUCCCCAGUCUGGCUGCCGCAUUCUGGAUUAAUUGCAGUUUCCGUGUCACCUUCAAAGGCAGCCCCACGUAGAGCACGUUGCAGUAGUCCAAGCGCGAGAUAACUAAAGCAUGCACCACUCUGGCCAGACAGUCUGCGGGCAGGGAGGGUCUCAGCCUGCGUCCCAGAUGGAGCUGCCCUGGACACAGAAUUGACCUACGCCUCCAUGGACAGAGGUAAGUCCAAAAUGACUCCCAGGCUGUGCACCUGGUCCUUCAAGAACAGUUACCCCGUUCAGGACCAGGGAGUCCUCCACACCAGCCUCUCCCCUGUCCCCCAAUAACAGUACUUCUGUCUUGUCAGGAUUCAACCUCAAUCUGUUAGCCGCCAUCCAACCGCCUCCAGACACUCACACAGGAUCUUCACUGGUUCUGCUUUGAAAGACCGCGCCAUGUGGGAAUCCUUUGCAGAUGACUGCCAGUGCCUGGAGACAGAUGGUCAGGUGGUGCAUCCACAGCAGUGACCAGAGGAGGAAUGACAGCUGGGAGGAGCGCAGAGAGAGGCACUGCCAUAGUGCACCUGCAGCAGCCAAAGCGGACACUUUCCUCUGCCCCAGCUGCAGCAAAACAUGUCCAUCCAGUAUCAGUCUGUACACAGACACAGCAGGCGCUGUAACUUUGACAUCACUCAUGAAGGUGAAGGUGUUAAAGCUGUCUGUGGUUCUCCAAAAAAAUAAUAGGUGCUCAAACUUUUUUCCGUGGACCGACACUUUCAGAAUAAAAUAAAAUAAAAAUACUUACUGUAUUUUUCCGUGUAUAAGAUUCCCCCUAUUUUGGGGGACUCAGAAUUAAGAAAAUGGGGGGACAUUGCCCCUGUGUAUAAGACUAUCCCCCUUUUAACGUUUUUAGUAAAAAAAUCCUAGUCUUAUACACGGAAAAGUAUAGUAAUUUUUUUACUGAUAACGGAAACAUUGGAAAACAGCUAGGAUCGUCCUCAUUGUCACUUGAUGGUCUUGCUCUCAUUUUGAAAAUACGUUUAUCCAUAUUCUACAAUCAAUCAAUCAAUUGAUAGCAUACUAUACUGCACUGAAAUGUUUAAAUGCUUCUUUGACACAUGCCAUUCUCUCCUGCCGCCACACCAUUUGAGAGCCACGGUUGGAGACCACACGGGGGGGGGGGAGGCCCCUUGCUAGUAUUUUGGUCAGGGGUGAAAAGAAGGUGGUGGGGCGAAAUACAAGGGUUCCCUUUGGGUGGGGGCUGGGGGGUAUCCUUUUGGCUGCCCUAGUUAUGCCCACCCCCCAGGUGAGAUCAGGGAAAGGGAGGGGUGUUGUGAUGGUUGUUGAGAAGCCAGACUGAAGGAGGUGACUGAAACCACCUGUUGCCAACACAGAAUGACUUUGUGCAAGGAUUAAUUAGUGCACGUUUAUAGUAUGUGACCCAGCUAAUACAAACUGUGUGCACUUCUGUUUUUAGCCUCUGUGGAAAAAAGUGUUAUGCACUUUAUUUGUUACUACUGCCACAUACUGGCUGCUGGUUAUUUAACUGUUUAUAUUUGAUGGUACUGGAAAUGUUUAUCAUUAUGUUCCCACAGACCAAGGCUCCUUUGGGAUCAAGGUCAGGAACUAAUUUUAACAAGCAAAUAUCCAAUUCUGAUUUAUAUGGUCCAUGGGGUCACGAAGAGUCGGAAACAACAACAACAACAACAACAACAACAACAACAGACAUCAAUUGAUAUGUUUUCAUGAUUGAAAGUUUAUUUUAUCAUGAAUUAAAAUAUAACAUCCAUAUUAUCAAAAUGAAUUAUUUAUUUGGAUUGCCAUAUUAUGUUUUGAAAUAAAUUAGCAUUUAAACUGUUAUUGUUAAUGAUGUAUUGAUUUGUAUUUUUUAUUGUUAUGUCGUGAGUGGAAUAGCAGCAUGGAAACUGAAAUAAUAAAAGCAGUUUAUUUAGCAAUUUAAUAACUUGCAUUUCAGGGAAUUAGAUUAGAUGCCCUUGGAGUCCUUUUCAAUUCUGUGAUUUUAUGAUUCUACCCAAUCUUAUCUACCCAAUCAAGUCAGAGCUGUAUUGAAGGACCCCACAAAUAUAUCUGUCUUAUUAUCUAAAUGUGCAGACUAAAGAAAUGGUUACUUUGAUACCUUGCCACUUGCCCCAGAGAGCAAGGAAAAUAAAGCAUUUACCAUUUUCAACAGAGAUGGCCAUAGACAUAUUAACACUAACUUAAUCUACAGUAUGUAAUCCAAAGAAAAACCAGAAUUCCCACAUCCUCAAGAACAGUGAAAUGGUUGGGAAAUGUAAAACAUCAGCAUCAAUAUGAAAAAUGCUUUGUUAUUCCCU
Molecule: non-coding RNA, 3602 nt
Organism: Podarcis lilfordi (Lilford's wall lizard)
Lineage: Eukaryota; Metazoa; Chordata; Lepidosauria; Squamata; Lacertidae
Source: the annotation of a GenBank genome assembly